GGGUGCGAUAACACCAGCACUAAUGCUCCGGAUCCCAUCAGAACUCCGCAGCUAAGUGCGCUUGGACGAGAGUAGUAAUAGGAUGGGUGACGUCCCGGGAAGUCCUCGUGUUGCACCCC
This 119-nucleotide ribosomal RNA is filed under the name Brassica oleracea var. oleracea. The record is from RNAcentral. Lineage: Eukaryota; Viridiplantae; Streptophyta; Magnoliopsida; Brassicales; Brassicaceae.